UCUAUAGCAUGAGAAUACUGAAGUGAAAGUACAGAUGGUUGUUAGUAAACAAGGAUACUGAGCAUGAUCGAUAUGAGAAGUCACUUGGAUGUUUACUCACUCUUUAGUGACCUACUUGAUGUUGCAGUAGUAUGACUAGUCCUUUAACAUACGGUGCCUCAGUUAUUCAUAAUGGAGUUACUGUAGUUUGAUUGUACAUACACUUGAUCCCUAAUCAUAUA
Molecule: long non-coding RNA, 221 nt
Filed under: Elaeis guineensis (African oil palm)
Lineage: Eukaryota; Viridiplantae; Streptophyta; Magnoliopsida; Arecales; Arecaceae
Description: long non-coding RNA (EGUI_LNC009801)
Source: RNAcentral